RNAcentral lists this ribosomal RNA (874 nucleotides) under uncultured bacterium. Its description in RNAcentral is "bacterial SSU rRNA". It matches the Rfam family "Bacterial small subunit ribosomal RNA", at positions 525 to 1397 of the family's 1533-position model. The record is from RNAcentral.
GUUAAGGUGGCAAGCGUUGUCCGGAUUUAUUGGGCGUAAAGCGAGCGCAGGCGGAAAAAUAAGUCUAAUGUGAAAGCCCUCGGCUUAACCGAGGAACUGCAUCGGAAACUGUUUUUCUUGAGUGCAGAAGAGGAGAGUGGAACUCCAUGUGUAGCGGUGGAAUGCGUAGAUAUAUGGAAGAACACCAGUGGCGAAGGCGGCUCUCUGGUCUGCAACUGACGCUGAGGCUCGAAAGCAUGGGUAGCGAACAGGAUUAGAUACCCUGGUAGUCCAUGCCGUAAACGAUGAGUGCUAAGUGUUGGGAGGUUUCCGCCUCUCAGUGCUGCAGCUAACGCAUUAAGCACUCCGCCUGGGGAGUACGACCGCAAGGUUGAAACUCAAAGGAAUUGACGGGGGCCCGCACAAGCGGUGGAGCAUGUGGUUUAAUUCGAAGCAACGCGAAGAACCUUACCAGGUCUUGACAUCUAGUGCAAUCUGUAGAGAUACGGAGUUCCCUUCGGGGACGCUAAGACAGGUGGUGCAUGGUUGUCGUCAGCUCGUGUCGUGAGAUGUUGGGUUAAGUCCCGCAACGAGCGCAACCCUUAUCCUUAGUAGCCAGCAGGUAGAGCCGGGCACUCUAGGGAGACUGCCAGGGAUAACCUGGAGGAAGGUGGGGAUGACGUCAAAUCAUCAUGCCCCUUAUGAUUUGGGCUACACACGUGCUACAAUGGCGUAAACAAAGGGAAGCGAGACAGUGAUGUGGAGCAAAUCCCAAAAAUAACGUCCCAGUUCGGACUGUAGUCUGCAACCCGACUACACGAAGCUGGAAUCGCUAGUAAUCGCGAAUCAGAAUGUCGCGGUGAAUACGUUCCCGGGUCUUGCACUCACCGCCCGU